AUCACAUCCUGGGGCUGAAGUCGGUCCCAAGGGUAUGGCUGUUCGCCAUUUAAAGUGGUACGCGAGCUGGGUUUAGAACGUCGUGAGACAGUUCGGUCCCUAUCUGCCGUGGGCGUUUGAGAAUUGAAGAGGGCUGCUCCUAGUACGAGAGGACCGGAGUGGACGAACCGCUGGUGUUCGGGUUGUUAUGCCAAUAGCAUUGCCCGGUAGCUACGUUCGGAACUGAUAACCGCUGAAAGCAUCUAAGCGGGAAGCAGGCUUUGAGAUGAGUUCUCACUGGAGCUUUAAGCUCCCUAAAGGGUCGUUGGAGACUACAACGUUGAUAGGUUGGGUGUGGAAGUGCUGCGAGGCAUUGAGCUAACCAAUACUAAUUACCCGUGAGGCUUAACCAUACAACACCCAAG
This 404-nucleotide ribosomal RNA is filed under the name Colwellia sp. 6M3. RNAcentral's name for it is "partial 23S ribosomal RNA". It matches the Rfam family "Bacterial large subunit ribosomal RNA", at positions 2539 to 2925 of the family's 2925-position model. Lineage: Bacteria; Pseudomonadati; Pseudomonadota; Gammaproteobacteria; Alteromonadales; Colwelliaceae. The record is from RNAcentral.